UGAGGAAUAUUGGUCAAUGGGCGAGAGCCUGAACCAGCCAAGUAGCGUGCAGGAUGACGGCCCUAUGGGUUGUAAACUGCUUUUGUAAGGGAAUAAAGUGAGCCUCGUGAGGCUUUUUGCAUGUACCUUAUGAAUAAGGACCGGCUAAUUCCGUGCCAGCAGCCGCGGUAAUACGGAAGGUCCGGGCGUUAUCCGGAUUUAUUGGGUUUAAAGGGAGCGUAGGCCGGAGAUUAAGCGUGUUGUGAAAUGUAGACGCUCAACGUCUGCACUGCAGCGCGAACUGGUUUCCUUGAGUACGCACAAAGUGGGCGGAAUUCGUGGUGUAGCGGUGAAAUGCUUAGAUAUCACGAAGAACUCCGAUUGCGAAGGCAGCUUUCCAGCGCGCUACUGACGCUGAGGCACGAAAGCGUGGGGAUCGAACA
RNAcentral lists this ribosomal RNA (422 nucleotides) under uncultured Prevotella sp. Its description in RNAcentral is "bacterial SSU rRNA". It matches the Rfam family "Bacterial small subunit ribosomal RNA", at positions 355 to 774 of the family's 1533-position model. Lineage: Bacteria; Pseudomonadati; Bacteroidota; Bacteroidia; Bacteroidales; Prevotellaceae. The record is from RNAcentral.